ACCAGGAUGGCUGAGCGGUUAAGAUGUUGCACUCAAGCUGCAAUGGACAUAAGCCCUCGUGGGUUCAAAUCCCACUCCUGGUA
Non-coding RNA from Myripristis murdjan (pinecone soldierfish), 83 nucleotides. NCBI's taxonomy places the organism in Eukaryota, Metazoa, Chordata, Actinopteri, Holocentriformes, Holocentridae. The record is from the annotation of a RefSeq genome assembly.